GACGAACGCUGGCGGCGCGCUUAACACAUGCAAGUCGAACGGAAAGGCCCUGCUUUUGUGGGGUGCUCGAGUGGCGAACGGGUGAGUAACACGUGAGUAACCUGCCCUUGACUUUGGGAUAACUUCAGGAAACUGGGGCUAAUACCGGAUAGCAGCUCCUGCUGCAUGGUGGGGGUUGGAAAGUUUCGGCGGUUGGGGAUGGGCUCGCGGCUUCUCAGCUUGUUGGUGGGGUAGUGGCCUACCAAGGCUUUGACGAGUAGCCGGCCUGAGGGGGUGACCGGCCACAUUUGGACCGGGGUACGGCCAAAACUCCUACCGGAGCCAGCAGUAGGGAGUAUUGCACAAGGGGCGGCAACCAGAUGCAGCAACUCAGCGUGCGGGGUGAGUGCCUCCGGGUUGUAGACCGCGUGCGCAUGUGACGAGGCGUGAGUGACGGUAAUGUGUAAAGAAGGACCGGCUAAAUACGAG
This 468-nucleotide ribosomal RNA is filed under the name uncultured bacterium. Its description in RNAcentral is "partial 16S ribosomal RNA". It matches the Rfam family "Bacterial small subunit ribosomal RNA", at positions 28 to 507 of the family's 1533-position model. The record is from RNAcentral.